UUUUAUCAGCUGUUAGGACUCAUUCUGACGGCACCCAUUAAUUGCUGUGGAUCCAUUGGUAAGCAAGUGAUGCAAUGCUACAUUCUCCAAAUCUGUUCCGAUUACGAAACUCACCUACAUGGUCUGAGGGUGAGUGCAUUCUUAGCAAACUUUCAUUUUUGGAUGAACUAUUCCUUAAAGAUUUGAGAAACCCAUUAGUGAGCAAUUCAUCAUAUAAACAAAAAGUUCUUCUCUGAUUCUUAUGCUCUAGUUAAAGUUUUAAUAUUAAAUCUGUUUCGCAUGUUGUUUUGAUCAUGCUGCUUGCAUAUUAUUUCAUAUCUGUCCCGUGAGAGAACUAGUGAGACCACCUUCUUCGCGCGCAUUUUAAAAGCGUGCACCCAUGUGCGCUCUCGUGCACUCGUGUACAUGUCAGCUAUGGCUCUGUUCUUUUUCUUGUAACUUCAUUUACUGAUACUCUCAUCACUCAUGAAUAUUUCUGAGAGCAGAGCGGGUCUCGGCACCGUGGUGCCUCUUACUAGUUUAGAGAACGUGCUUUUGUUUCUCUUCAAUGUAAUUCUCGCCACCGCCAUUAUUUUUAUUAACGUCUCUGUGUUUGUUUCCAUCAUGAUGAACAGAUCUCUGCGAAACGAGAACCGCUUCAUGUACAUGCUCAGCACGUGUCUCAGUGACAUCUGCACGGGCGUCUCUUAUUAUUAUGCUGGAGUUAUGGAUGUACGCGAUUCUUAUGACUCCCCGACUCGCACUUUCUACAUCGUUCCCACUUUUCUGGGUCUGUCCUAUAUGGCGAUUCUGGCCGCGCAAGCGGACCGCUACCACGCGGUCUCAGCGCCUUUUAAAUACUCGCAGCGCAUGACGCGAAACAGAACCCUGCUGGUGAUUCUGGCCUACUGGGUUUAUGCUUUUCUGAUAGUUGCUGUUAAUAAUUUGGUUACUUUGGGGGUUGCUAAAAGAGUUACGGGCUUUGGCACUUUUGUGGCGAACAUUUUCACCGUCAUUAUCAUGAUUGGGCUGAACGUCAGGCUCUUCUUUGUCGCUAAAUUUCAGCUAGAACGCGAACCACCGAGUUCUGUUUCGAGUCAUGCGCUGCGAGUAUUUGAAAGGCGCUGA
Cyprinus carpio carpio is the source of this 1107-nucleotide long non-coding RNA. NCBI's taxonomy places the organism in Eukaryota, Metazoa, Chordata, Actinopteri, Cypriniformes, Cyprinidae. The record is from Ensembl.